Long non-coding RNA from Ornithodoros turicata, 898 nucleotides. RefSeq lists it as uncharacterized. The record is from RefSeq and is a predicted model, not a curated record. The transcript has 4 exons. NCBI's taxonomy places the organism in Eukaryota, Metazoa, Arthropoda, Arachnida, Ixodida, Argasidae.
AAUAUUCCAACCAAUUCCUUACUUUGAUGUUCUGUGUACGUAAUCAAAUUAAGCUGGGACAUCACACCCUUCAUUCUGACUCGUCAGAUGCAAGCAGGACACUCGAAUUUCUUGAGGGUCGCAAGUCAAGCAACACAUAAUAUAUGUUUUCUCUUAGGAAGGAGAUGCCAGUGCUACGUGCACAGAGGUGGAUGUCCUGAAUGCACUGGGAUUAAGCCAUUGCAAAUGACACUGAUGAUUAACCUCGCCGAUCCUAGACAUGUACCAAUGAUGGCCACGCAUUGCUUCUCAACACCGGUUAAAAAAAACAUCGAACUUCCUCACAACAGGAACUCAUACCUGAUAACUCAGGAUAACUCAUUUCACCCAGUUUCUAAGAAAGCGUACCGAUACGCUAACCGCUUUCUCUCUCUCUCUGUUGCAGGUUUCCCACUGAAGCACCGAUAGCGAGUGCCAUAAGUGUAUUUCACGUCAAUUUUAAGCACACGCACACACACUGUCACUAAGCGUCAAAUACUUGAAUCGAAAGCAUUCACUUGACUAUACGCGAGAUGUAGAUGACGCCGCGGUGAAGUUUGACAUGCUAAAUGUUAUAAUUCGCCUUUUCAGACCGCCCUGGCAAUAACGGAGUCGUCGAUGAUGGCGACAACUUGGAACCAUUUCACGAUAAUAAUACUUCGACCACAGACCAUACCAGUUCUACGCUUUCAACAUCUGCAAAAACGCGGCGCCCAACGAAGGUCCCUACAAAACACCCCAUCAAAACCACUCGUUCAACGCAUUCAACAUCUGUAAAAACGCGGCGCCCAACGAGGGUCACAAGGAAACCACCCACCAAACGCACUCGUUCAACGCAUUCAACAACUGUAAAAACGCGGCGCCCAACGACGGUCACAAC